This 3521-nucleotide long non-coding RNA is filed under the name Homo sapiens (human). RNAcentral describes it as "HSALNT0298113". The record is from RNAcentral. Lineage: Eukaryota; Metazoa; Chordata; Mammalia; Primates; Hominidae.
UAUUCUGUAUUUUAUAUACGUAUACCUUUAUCAAGUUAUAAAUGUGUGUGUUUGUUCACCUCCCGAGUAGCUACGACCACAGGUGUGCACCACCAUACCCAGCGAAUUUUUAUUUUUAUUUUUUUUGGACAGUUGAAGUCUCACUAUAUUGCCCAGGCUGGACUGAAACUCCUGGGCUCAAGUGAUCAUCUCACCUUGGCCUCCCAAAGUGCUGAGAUUAUAGGCAUGUACCACUGUGCCCAGCCUUCAUGUCAAUUUAAAAUUGCAAAUCUCCCUGGAGGUUGUGGUCAAACCCUCUUGGGGAGACCAACUGAACAUUUGCAGAGGAUACACAAACUACUCCGUUAAUGCAGAGUUGUGUUGGUCUACUCUCAGUGUAUAGUCUCCCCUCUAUAAAUGGCACUGUCCCAGGGGAAAGCCGAAGUGCUAAGGGUAAUAUAUUCUAACUUCUUUAACAUCCUUAUCCGGCUUUCUACUUUUCAUAAGUUUUGGUAAUUGGAUCUUUUUCAUCUUCUUUUAAUGUUGUUACUCAGGAUUUCAGACAUGAGACUGUAAAGCAGAAAUGAAGAUAACUAUAGUGAACAUUUUUAACUAGAGUUUAAUGUAAGCAUGAUAAAAUGGAAAAGAUUUAAGUUUUCUUAGACUGUCUCUACCACCACUUGCUGUAUGACCUUGAGCAUAUUACAAACCUCUUGAGCCUCAGUUUUAUCAUCUCUAAAAUGGAUUAAAUGAAAUCAGCCAAGCUUUAACCCAUUUUAGAGACCAUAGUGUUACAUUUCCUCUCUGUUAGCAGUAUCAUAACUCAGGACUGGCUCAUUUUCAUUUCAGGACCAUUGUAGCACUGGUAUACAAUGUGCUGAAAACCCUAAUGGAAAUGAAUGGCAAGCUUUUCGAUGACCUUACUAGCUCAUACAAAGCUGAAAGACAGAGGUAUUUGAUAUUUUGAAUUACAAAAUUAUCUAUACAUUUUAUGUUAGUUGAAUGUGAUUCAGUUCAGGAAGGUAUCUUCUCUCAGUUCAGAUUUUCAUAUUUAAGAAGUUAAUUACCUUAUAGUAAACAUUACAAUGUGAAAGUCUCUUAACAUAUAAGUCAUUUCCAGAUAAACUAGCCCCAGUAUUUUUAUAAAUUUGUUAAAGCAGAAAAAGCAGUAGCAUUUAUUUUUGAGGGUAGUUACAUAAUUUACUUCCUCUAAAUGGUUAGAUUAUGAUUUUAAUGUGGAUCAUAAAUCCUGUUUAUCUCAUUCUGAGCCUUAGAUUUCCUCAGUCUGUUAGCAUCUGCAUAUGAAAUAUAAUUUAUGCUGAAUUUUAAAUAUCAAUUUGUACAAUUUGAUUUUUUAUCCAUGCAUUUACGAAAAUCCUUUUUGUCCACGUGGGCUUCCAGAGUGAGCUUUACUUUUCAAGUGUUCUUUGUUAGCAGUAGGUAAUUCUUACGCUGUGGAUUAUCAGAAGGUGGUAUUUUAAAGUCAGCAUAGUUCUCCUUUGGGAAGAGGGAAGUCACAUAAUGAUAUGGCUUAGGGUACUAUUAAUAUGUUGUCCUUGCAAUAAUAUGUAUUUUAGAGUAUAAAUGUUAGCACGUAUCAGCCUUUAGGAACAUGGCCUAGUGAUUACCUCUUUUUGAGAAUUUCAUAAAUUACUAUAAAAUAAUCUUUCAAGAGUUACUUUCUUCUCAUAUGUUUAUUUCAAACUCAAGAAGCACUUUCUUAAACUUAAGUGGUUAGUAACCAGUGUACCUGAGCCCACCCAUUAUUUGAGGAUAACAGUUACCAUUUACUUCUAAUAAGCAUAUUACCUGUUCUGUUUAGAAAAGCUAUCUAUUUUGACAAGUUCCUAGUUAUGGUUAUCUUAAAGUAGAAAAUGGAUAGCCUUUCUUCAAAGCCAUCCAGCCCAUUAAUAACUAACUCAAUGCAUUAUUUCCUUUAAAUAGCAGCAUUCAGGCAGGAAUAGAAAUUAAGUACAUGUUUUGAGCCUCAGGAAGCAAUGGGAAGAAAAUAAGAUGACUAGGAUCAUAGGAAACUUGUAUUUGAAAAAUAUGUAUUUCACAUGACUAAGAAUAUACUCAUCAUUUCUUACCUGCAUAAAUCAGCAAAUCCUUUAAAAGGAUUUGUCCUUUUAACUCAUAACUGCAGAAUUAUAAGCCUAUGUUUUACAUGUUCAUGGAGCCUUUCAGAAUAGACAGGUUCAAGUUACUCAGAAAUGUUUUCCUUAGAACUGAAAUUAAUUAGUUGAAACGACAUAUGAAAUAUUUUGACCUUCAUUUUGUUCUAGAGAAAGAUUACUGAAACUAAAGUUUUCAUUUGACAUGUAAAAGAGGAGCUAGUAAGAUACAAACUGGUUAGUGGCUAGAGAUGUGGCUGUUAGUGGCAAAAAUGAUGUGGCUUCUGUCUGGUGUGGUGAAGGAAGUGCUUCCUACUGACCUAGUGGCCAGCCCCUUCAGCCUUUGUAAUACUGAUUAGACUACUACAACUGCAAGAUGUUUACGUGAGAAAAUUGACGUGUAAGUACUUUGUUGACUAUAAAGUACAGUGUCAUGGUAGUGAUAAUGUGUAGGGGACAGAAAGCAAGUAGUAACGUCUAGCUGGUACAGGAGAUGCACAGACUCAGUACAUUUAGGAGAGUGACAAGAAGAAAUUAGGUGCUCCAGGUAAGUGGACUCCAAAGCUUUAGCAGAGGGAUUUAAGUGAAAUGUGGGUAAGUAAUGUGUUCUCCAGUAAGCUGUCAAACAGCACCUCUCUUUGGGUUCUGAAAUAAUUUCUGAUUACAAAAAUUUUGGUUUAUCUACAGAGAGAAAAAGAAGGAAUUGGAACGUGAAGAAUUAUGGAAAAAAUUAGAGGAGCUAAAGCUAAAGAAAGCUCUAGAAAAACAGAAUAGUGCUUACAACAUGCACAGUAUUCUCAGCAAUACAAGUGCCGAAUAAAAAAAAAGCCUCCCACCUCUGCCGGAUAGGCAGAGUUUUGUAUGCUUUUUUGAAAUAUGUAAAAAUUACAAAACAAACCUCAUCAGUAUAAUAUAAUUAAAAGGCCAAUUUUUUCUGGCAACUGUAAAUGGAAAAAUAUAUGGACUAAACGUAGCCCUGUGCUGUAUCAUGGCCAUAGUAUAUUGUAACCUUUGUCUAAUCAUUGGAUUUAUUGUGUCACUUCUGAAGUUUCACAGAAAUGAAUGAAUUUUAUCAUCUAUGAUAUGAGUGAGAUAAUUAUGGGAGUGGUAAGAAUUAUGACUUGAAUUCUUCUUUGAUUGUGUUGCACAUAGAUAUGGUAGUCUGCUCUGUAUAUUUUUCCCUUUUAUAAUGUGCUUUUCACACUGCUGCAAACCUUAGUUACAUCCUAGGAAAAAAUACUUCCUAAAAUAAAACUAAGGUAUCAUCCUUACCCUUCUCUUUGUCUCACCCAGAAAUAUGAUGGGGGGAAUUACCUGCCCUAACCCCUCCCUCAAUAAAUACAUUACUGUACUCUGGAAUUUAGGCAAAACCUUAAAUCUCCAGGCUUUUUAAAGCACAAAAUAUAAAUAAAAGCUGGGAAAGUAAAC